Molecule: ribosomal RNA, 397 nt
Filed under: uncultured bacterium
Lineage: Bacteria
Description: bacterial SSU rRNA
Rfam family: Bacterial small subunit ribosomal RNA
Source: RNAcentral
CGCCGCGUGAGGGAUGACGGCCUUCGGGUUGUAAACCUCUUUCAGCAGGGAAGAAGCGAGAGUGACGGUACCUGCAGAAGAAGCGCCGGCUAACUACGUGCCAGCAGCCGCGGUAAUACGUAGGGCGCAAGCGUUGUCCGGAAUUAUUGGGCGUAAAGAGCUCGUAGGCGGCUUGUCGCGUCGGUUGUGAAAGCCCGGGGCUUAACCCCGGGUCUGCAGUCGAUACGGGCAGGCUAGAGUUUCGGUAGGGGAGAUCGGAAUUCCUGGUGUAGCGGUGAAAUGCGCAGAUAUCAGGAGGAACACCGGUGGCGAAGGCGGAUCUCUGGGCCGAUACUUGACGCUUGAGGAGCGAAAGCGUGGGGAGCGAACAGGAUUAGAUACCCUGGUAGUCCAAGGG